GGUAAAAUGGCUGAGCAAAGCAUUAGACUGUAAAUCUAAGGACAGAGGUUAAUGUUCCUCUUUUUACCA
This 69-nucleotide transfer RNA is filed under the name Blastocerus dichotomus (marsh deer). Its description in RNAcentral is "tRNA-Tyr". It matches the Rfam family "tRNA". From Rfam's summary of the family: Transfer RNA (tRNA) molecules are approximately 80 nucleotides in length. Their secondary structure includes four short double-helical elements and three loops (D, anti-codon, and T loops). Further hydrogen bonds mediate the characteristic L-shaped molecular structure. tRNAs have two regions of fundamental functional importance: the anti-codon, which is responsible for specific mRNA codon recognition, and the 3' end, to which the tRNAs corresponding amino acid is attached (by aminoacyl-tRNA synthetases). tRNAs cope with the degeneracy of the genetic code in two manners: having more than one tRNA (with a specific anti-codon) for a particular amino acid; and 'wobble' base-pairing, i.e. permitting non-standard base-pairing at the 3rd anti-codon position. Lineage: Eukaryota; Metazoa; Chordata; Mammalia; Artiodactyla; Cervidae. The record is from RNAcentral.